GACGAACGCUGGCGGCGUGCUUAACACAUGCAAGUCGAACGGAAAGGCCCUGCUUUUGCGGGGUGCUCGAGUGGCGAACGGGUGAGUAACACGUGAGUAACCUGCCCUUGACUUUGGGAUAACUUCAGGAAACUGGGGCUAAUACCGGAUAGGAGCUCCUGCUGCAUGGUGGGGGUUGGAAAGUUUCGGCGGUUGGGGAUGGACUCGCGGCUUAUCAGCUUGUUGGUGGGGUAGUGGCUUACCAAGGCUUUGACGGGUAGCCGGCCUGAGAGGGUGACCGGCCACAUUGGGACUAAGAUACGGCCCAGACUCCUACGGGAGGCAGCAGUGGGGAAUAUUGCACAAUGGGCGGAAGCCUGAUGCAGCAACGCCGCGUGCGGGAUGACGGCCUUCGGGUUGUGAACCGCUUUCGCCUGUGACGAAGCGUGAGUGACGGUAAUGGGUAAAGAAGCACCGGCUAACUACGUG
This 468-nucleotide ribosomal RNA is filed under the name uncultured bacterium. RNAcentral's name for it is "partial 16S ribosomal RNA". It matches the Rfam family "Bacterial small subunit ribosomal RNA", at positions 28 to 507 of the family's 1533-position model. The record is from RNAcentral.